Molecule: long non-coding RNA, 347 nt
Organism: Odontomachus brunneus
Lineage: Eukaryota; Metazoa; Arthropoda; Insecta; Hymenoptera; Formicidae
Exons: 3
Source: RefSeq, a predicted model, not a curated record
CUAAAUUUAACGAUAUCUUGCUCGGUUCUUAUAUUUUGAAAAUAUUAAAUCUCUAAUAUGUCUUUCUCCAAAAUCUAACAGAAACAGAAAGGUACCAUGAUACGCGCUGUUCGCCACAAUACUUGAAUAUUUAAGAUCUACUCGUACUAUUUUGAAUGAUUUAAAAUGACGCUGCGGCCUGACAGACGGGAAGCCGGAAUAUGCGGUCGCAAGAAAGUACGGUGUGACAAUACUAUCAACGCCAAAGGUCCCUCCACAAGGUAUACCGUGUGCUGUGUACAUAGCGUGGCCAUAUAAAUUUGCCUACCGGCCCAUUUACACCGUCGAAACACGAUACGAGUCCGGGC